RNAcentral lists this ribosomal RNA (386 nucleotides) under uncultured bacterium. RNAcentral describes it as "bacterial SSU rRNA". It matches the Rfam family "Bacterial small subunit ribosomal RNA", at positions 30 to 418 of the family's 1533-position model. The record is from RNAcentral.
AUUGAACGCUGGCGGCAUGCCUUACACAUGCAAGUCGAACGGCAGCACGGGAGCAAUCCUGGUGGCGAGUGGCGAACGGGUGAGUAAUAUAUCGGAACGUGCCCAGUCGUGGGGAUAACGUAGCGAAAGCUACGCUAAUACCGCAUACGAUCUAUGGAUGAAAGCGGGGGAUCGCAAGACCUCGCGCGAUUGGAGCGGCCGAUAUCAGAUUAGGUAGUUGGUGAGGUAAAGGCUCACCAAGCCGACGAUCUGUAGCUGGUCUGAGAGGACGACCAGCCACACUGGGACUGAGACACGGCCCAGACUCCUACGGGAGCAGCAGUGGGGAAUUUUGGACAAUGGGCGCAAGCCUGAUCCAGCAAUGCCGCGUGCAGGAUGAAGCCUUC